RNAcentral lists this ribosomal RNA (280 nucleotides) under uncultured bacterium. RNAcentral's name for it is "partial 16S ribosomal RNA". It matches the Rfam family "Bacterial small subunit ribosomal RNA", at positions 75 to 355 of the family's 1533-position model. The record is from RNAcentral.
GCAGCUUGCUGCUUUGCUGACGAGUGGCGGACGGGUGAGUAAUGUCUGGGAAACUGCCUGAUGGAGGGGGAUAACUACUGGAAACGGUAGCUAAUACCGCAUAACGUCGCAAGACCAAAGAGGGGGACCUUAGGGCCUCUUGCCAUCGGAUGUGCCCAGAUGGGAUUAGCUAGUAGGUGGGGUAACGGCUCACCUAGGCGACGAUCCCUAGCUGGUCUGAGAGGAUGACCAGCCACACUGGAACUGAGACACGGUCCAGACUCCUACGGGAGGCAGCAGU